GGAAAAGUGGCUAAGUUAUUGAAGAAAAUAGGCAUUAAGUACCCAAUAUAUACCACUUAUAAAAUCUAACUCAUUGAUUUGUUGUGUAUUCUCUCCGGUCUUGAAAACCGGCGACCCGAAAGGGUUCUAGAGUUCGAAUCUCUACGCUUCCGCCA
Molecule: transfer RNA, 155 nt
Filed under: Kluyvera ascorbata
Lineage: Bacteria; Pseudomonadati; Pseudomonadota; Gammaproteobacteria; Enterobacterales; Enterobacteriaceae
Also listed under: 1 other name
Description: tRNA-Ser
Source: RNAcentral